GGUCCCGUAGCCAAGUGGCUAAGGCAAUGGACUGCAACUCCGUGAUCGCCGGUUCGAAUCCGGCCGGGACCUCCA
RNAcentral lists this transfer RNA (75 nucleotides) under Candidatus Izimoplasma sp. ZiA1. RNAcentral describes it as "Candidatus Izimaplasma sp. ZiA1 tRNA-Cys". It matches the Rfam family "tRNA". Rfam says of the family: Transfer RNA (tRNA) molecules are approximately 80 nucleotides in length. Their secondary structure includes four short double-helical elements and three loops (D, anti-codon, and T loops). Lineage: Bacteria; Bacillati; Mycoplasmatota; Mollicutes; Candidatus Izemoplasmatales; Candidatus Izemoplasmataceae. The record is from RNAcentral.